GGUUGAGUCCCGUGCGAUUUCAUGGCGUGAAUCCUGUCAGGACCGGAAGGUAGCAGCAGUAAGCGCUUUCUGGGAUGUGCUGCGGGGCAGCUCGGCCGGA
Molecule: signal recognition particle RNA, 100 nt
Filed under: Bacillota bacterium
Lineage: Bacteria; Bacillati; Bacillota
Description: signal recognition particle sRNA small type
Rfam family: Bacterial small signal recognition particle RNA
About the family: The signal recognition particle (SRP) is a universally conserved ribonucleoprotein involved in the co-translational targeting of proteins to membranes. Archaeal SRP consists of a 7S RNA and homologues of the eukaryotic SRP19 and SRP54 proteins. In most bacteria, the SRP consists of a 4.5S RNA and the Ffh protein (a homologue of the eukaryotic SRP54 protein).
Source: RNAcentral